RNAcentral lists this long non-coding RNA (845 nucleotides) under Malus domestica (apple). RNAcentral's name for it is "long non-coding RNA (MDOM_LNC007786)". Lineage: Eukaryota; Viridiplantae; Streptophyta; Magnoliopsida; Rosales; Rosaceae. The record is from RNAcentral.
CUCUUCCAUUUUCCUCGUCCAACUCCUUUUUCCUUUUCUUCUCGAUCACAAAUAUACACAGUUCACAUGCAAACCAAUUUUCCAUCAGACCAAACAAAACCCACCACCUGCCUCAUCAAUCCAACAAAAUUCCCAAACUUUCCCACCCUAAAAUUUGACAAUUCCAUUCAAAUUAAACAAAAGUUAGAGCUGAAAAUUUGAGCAAAGAAAGAAAGAGAGAGAGAGGGGGAGGGAGAGUAAACGGAUCACCAAUAGUAGGAGGCGGCGACGCCGUAUAGCUUGAGGACGAGCAGUAGCGUAAAGGAGAAGAGGAGGAUGUGGGCCGCUAAGGCCUGCACGGACUUCAACACUCUCCGCUAGUUCAUCAUCACCGUAAAAUGAUGUCGUCCGCUGCGAAAGUCGAGACUUCAGAUUGUGAGAAAUCUCAGGAGGAGGUUGCUGUUUCAGUAUGCGCCAUUGAAACUAAAGAGGCAAGAAAUAUUCUUUCUCUCCUUCAUCUUUUUCGUCGUUCGGGUUGACCCAGAUGGCAAAAAAUCCCAAAUCACCGACCCAGAUGCCAAAAGGGCGCUGGGUUUGCAAGACGAUGGAGAUUGGCGACAACCGUUUUUGGUUUGGUCACUGGAGAAGGGGGGUUGAUGCUGCUCAUGUGGGUUCGUAGGAUGCUGCUUGCAGACGAGGGAGACGGGACUAGCAAUCCCGUUGUUUUUGGGGGGCCUCGCAAAGACCUCCUAGUGAGGGAUUUAGUCGAGGCAAGUCCUCCUUUGUCCUAUUUAACUUGGUCCCGCCAGUGAACAAACACGGAUUGCACUAACUUUUAACUUAAGCCAGUCCAGUGAGAGCUAAAG